GGUUAAUAAUGUUUCGGAAUCUACCCAUGGGUGGGGAAUAACCAGCCGAAAGGUUGGCUAAUACCGCAUAAGUCCUACGGGGGAAAGCGGGGGAUCGCAAGACUCGCGCCGAUGGAUGAGCCGAAGCCGGAUUAGCUAGUUGGUAGGGUAACGGCCUACCAAGGCGACGAUCCGUAGCUGGUCUGAGAGGACGACCAGCCACACUGGGACUGAGACACGGCCCAGACUCCUACGGGAGGCAGCAGUGGGGAAUAUUGGACAAUGGGGGAAACCCUGAUCCAGCGACGCCGCGUGUGUGAAGAAGGCCUGCGGGUUGUAAAGCACUUUUAGUGGGGAUGAAAAGCUCAGGGCUAAUACCUCUGAGUCUUGACCUAACCCAAAGAAAAAGCACCGGCUAACUCUGUGCCAGCCGCCGCGG
RNAcentral lists this ribosomal RNA (418 nucleotides) under uncultured bacterium. Its description in RNAcentral is "bacterial SSU rRNA". It matches the Rfam family "Bacterial small subunit ribosomal RNA", at positions 105 to 520 of the family's 1533-position model. The record is from RNAcentral.